RNAcentral lists this ribosomal RNA (157 nucleotides) under Immersiella hirta. RNAcentral's name for it is "Arnium hirtum partial large subunit ribosomal RNA". It matches the Rfam family "Eukaryotic large subunit ribosomal RNA", at positions 99 to 261 of the family's 3401-position model. The record is from RNAcentral. Lineage: Eukaryota; Fungi; Ascomycota; Sordariomycetes; Sordariales; Lasiosphaeriaceae.
CGGCAACAGCUCAAAUUUGAAAUCUGGCUUCGGCCCGAGUUGUAAUUUGCAGAGGAAGAUUCUGGCGACGCGCCGUCCGAGUCCCCUGGAACGGGGCGCCAUAGAGGGUGAGAGCCCCGUAUGGACGGAUGUCUAGCCUGUGUGAAUCUCCUUCGAC